Carassius gibelio (silver crucian carp) is the source of this 490-nucleotide non-coding RNA. Lineage: Eukaryota; Metazoa; Chordata; Actinopteri; Cypriniformes; Cyprinidae. The record is from the annotation of a RefSeq genome assembly.
CACCUGUAUAUAAUCACAAUUCAGCUCAACAACUGGCAAACAUUAAAUGAUCAUUUAAAUACACAGUAUAGUUACAAAGCAGUCAAGGUGUUUUAACAAUGAUGUCAAAAAGCAUUUGUCUGUUCAUUAUUGUAGUGAUUUUAACUCAAGGUAUCAGUGGUGAUGAAAUCCGGUUGGAUCAGUCAUCUGCUGAGAUAAAGAGACCUGGAGAAACAGUGAAGAUCUCCUGUAAAAUAUCUGGUUUUACAAUGACAAGCUACUACAUGCACUGGAUACGACAAAAACCAGGGAAAGCUCUGGAGUGGAUUGGGAGAGUUAACUCUGGCUCUGGUAGUGUUGAUUAUGCAGAUACAAUGAAAAAUCACUUCACGUUGAGUGAGGACGUGUCUCAAAGUACACAGUAUCUUGAAGCCAAGAGUCUGAGAGAAGAGGACACUGCUGUUUAUUACUGUGCUCGACAGACACACUGACUCCAUCUGAUGAAGCAGCU